GCCUAGCCACGCCAAAGAAUUUGUGUGGCAGCUGACCGUGGUGAGGGAUAGAGACACAGACCGAGAGAGAAAAAGGCUGUAGGCUUUAUUGAGCAGAUUGAAAGGACAAAGCUUCCACAGUGUGGAAGGGGUCCCGAGCGGGUAGCCAGAGUUAGAUUAUGUGACUGCCUUUUAAACUCUUUAAGGCCGGAAAUACGUGUGGCGAGAUGUUACCAGAGCGAGAAACAAAGGCAAUUAACCGUUUGUAACAUGUCUUAGAUCUUGAGGAAAACUGGAAUUGCAACUUAGGUUUUAUCUACUUUAUGAACUUGCAGCAGCAUGGCAAAGGAGACGGGAUCUUACAGGACUUUGUUACAAAGACCGAAGUAAGUCCUGAUGCAGGAAAUGAGUGACUUUCACAGCUUUCUGAGCCCCUACUCAACCCAGGAAGUCCAGCUGGCACCUCCUCUGGAUCACAAGGUUUGAGAAGUGCCAAAAAACAGCUGUUUGGAGUAAAGGAGAUGAACGAACAACAUGUUUGCAGGCAAAGGUACUCACCGCUACCCUGCGUUCCUGCAUAGACUUCCAUCAGAGAGAACAUGUUAGGAAAGUUAAAUUGCAGUAAGCACAUCACAGCAAUGACGAGGACAGGUACUUUUCUGGGAAACACUGGAAGACAGCUGGAGAGGAUUCUGCUGCUGUGAAAGCACCUAAAGCCUCCUUGACUCAGCCUCACAUCCUAUCUUCAAGAAAACAUCAUAUGGUUAUUAUAUAAACCUCUUACGGGAUUUCUAAGGUUAAUUUCAAUAUAUAAAUGGCUACUCAACAGAAUCAAGGUAAUUAGAGUUUGCUUAUAUUCAAAAAGAGUUGCAAAAUGUCUCCUAGAAAACAGAAUUAACUAUAAGAACCUGAAAUUUGCAUUUCAUAACUUUAAGGAGUUUAAAUUAUCAAGAUUAAUAUUGCACUAAAAAGUUUGUGCAUUCAUGCGUGAUCGAAUAUGAAAACACAUGACCUGUGAACUGAGCAAAAGGUAUGCUUUCUGAAGCAUAUACUCUGUGUGAUUAGGUCACUGAUGCCAUUGAAAUAUGUAGAUUUAAUGUUAAAGCUACUGGUUCUCUGAGUGUUUUCAUGAUCUCACCAGAUUUUUUUUUUUGUACCAUUCACUCUUUUCUAUUUAAAAGACUUUCAGUCGUAGUCUAAAAAAAAUUCCAAACACUUUAGUUCUGGAAUUUCACUUAUUCUCUACAAGUUAUUAUUACUACAAUUUAGUACAAACUCUCAUUUUCAUAGCUUACUAUUCCAACUUCUCCUAGUAUGUAACCCUUAUGCUCUAUAACUGAAAACAUUCUGGUAAAAGGAAUCAGCAUGCUAAUACUAUUUUAAACACACAUCCUCAUUCUCUUUCCUAUUAUUCAUAAAACUAGAAAAAUAAAAAAACACUUUUCUUCCAGCAGUGGAUAGAAGAAAAAGAAAUUCAAAUUUACAAUUUAAUUGUCAUGGGUCACUCACUUGCAGUGACUUGCUCUAGUUGCUUCUGUUGUUUUAAUGCUAAGGUAAGAUGAUGAAGAUCUGUUUUGAGUAAAGUAAGCUCCAAAUAUGAGCUUUGCACUACUACCAUUCUUAAUUUGUGGAUCAUAUCAAUGUUAGGAGUUGAAGGUUUAAUUUGCAUUUAUUUAAAUAAAUUAUCCCUAGACUAUAACUUAUUUUCCAAAUGUCUCAUUCUUUCUCUCAUGUUUAUCUUUUUUCUUGACAUUCAUUUCUUAUACAUGCAUUCAUCAAUAUUAGCCAUUCUAUGUGGAUAUACUAAUUCAUAUUUACUUCAAUCCAUUAAUAUUUGCAUUCUAAUAAAAUUCAUUGCUUCUCUACAAUAGAUAGUUCAAGCAGAACUUAUAGUUUUGGUCAUUAAUUUCUAGCUACAGAUUGCAGAAGAGAAGCAGCACAUAAUAAAGUAUAUCCUAGUCAUGUUUGCAUAUAAAUACAUACUACAUUGCACAGAAUAAUUGUUACCCUCCUACAAAAGCCCAAAAUAAAUUAAAGAUAUAAAAUCACUGAUAUAAUUCAGUUUUGUAUCUCAAUCACAAUCCAGUUUCUUUCUUUUUCUGAUCUUAUAGCCUGGGGGUUCUCAAAAGAAAACGUUUUAGAAUAAAAUUUUAUUUUCUAUAAACCUAAGGAUAUAGUGCACAUUCAUUGAUAGAACAGGCAUCAACUUCUGUUUCUCUGAUCUCAUUUCACUAGGGCUUACAUUUUCAGCCAUAUCACUAGGCAGAACUGUGAAAGCAAUUCUGUAUUAAUGUUCAAAGAUGCAUUUUUUUUAUUAGAAAAGAAACACAUGUUUUAUACUUAGCCCUAUAUCCUGUAUCUUCCCCUCCCUUCCUCUUUUGGUUUUUCUUGUCCUACAAUAAAAAGCACUAGAAUAUCCACUGGAUGUAUUGUUUAUAAAUUAAGUAACAUAUUGUUCAUAUAAUAAAACGAUUCUCUUCCCCACAUGAUUUCAUCACCACUGUCUCUUCCUAAGUGUGACAAUGUCUUCUGCUUACUUCAACAUUAAAUAUUUUAUAUUUACUUCUAGAUUAAUAAACUGUAGACCCUACCAAUUGUCUCUAUAGAAGAUUACUAGUUUGCUCAUUUAUGUAAUACUCAUAUUCCCCUUUCAUGUACCUUCCUUAAAUUUUAAUAGUUGCAUUUAUCCUUCCAAGUAGCAUUCAAACUUUAAAUAUAAAUACAUCUUCAUCACUUGUUCCCUCAUUUACACAAUACUUCCUAAUUAUUUACUACAUAAGAGAGUGGUCUUAUAACUAUAUUUUUCUCUAUAUCUCUUGUAUCAACUUUCAAACUGGAAUUUUUGACAGAUACCACUUCUAUAUAUAG
Molecule: long non-coding RNA, 2847 nt
Filed under: Homo sapiens (human)
Lineage: Eukaryota; Metazoa; Chordata; Mammalia; Primates; Hominidae
Description: HSALNT0108057
Source: RNAcentral